GGGCGAUUAGCUCAGUUGGUUAGAGCGCACGAUUCACAUUCGUGAGGUCGGUGGUUCGAGCCCACUAUCGCCCACCA
Molecule: transfer RNA, 77 nt
Filed under: Candidatus Peregrinibacteria bacterium
Lineage: Bacteria; Candidatus Peregrinibacteriota
Description: tRNA-Val
Rfam family: tRNA
About the family: Transfer RNA (tRNA) molecules are approximately 80 nucleotides in length. Their secondary structure includes four short double-helical elements and three loops (D, anti-codon, and T loops).
Source: RNAcentral